UACGGGGGGGGCAAGCGUUGUUCGGAAUUACUGGGCGUAAAGGGCGUGUAGGCGGCCAACUAAGUCCGACGUGAAAUCCCCAGGCUUAACCUGGGAACUGCGUCGGAUACUGGAUGGCUUGAAUCCGGGAGAGGGAUGCAGAAUUCCAGGUGUAGCGGUGAAAUGCGUAGAUAUCUGGAGGAACACCGGUGGCGAAGGCGGCGUUCUGGACUGCUACUGACACUGAUGAACGAAAGCCAGGGGAGCAAACGGG
RNAcentral lists this ribosomal RNA (253 nucleotides) under uncultured bacterium. RNAcentral describes it as "partial 16S ribosomal RNA". It matches the Rfam family "Bacterial small subunit ribosomal RNA", at positions 524 to 776 of the family's 1533-position model. The record is from RNAcentral.